This 413-nucleotide ribosomal RNA is filed under the name uncultured bacterium. RNAcentral describes it as "bacterial SSU rRNA". It matches the Rfam family "Bacterial small subunit ribosomal RNA", at positions 505 to 916 of the family's 1533-position model. The record is from RNAcentral.
GUGCCAGCCGCCGCGGUAAUACGUAGGGGGCGAGCGUUGUCCGGAAUUACUGGGCGUAAAGGGUGCGUAGGCGGUUCCUUAAGUUGGAUGUGAAAUACCCGGGCUUAACCUGGGGGGUGCAUUCAAGACUGGGGAACUAGAGUUCAGGAGAGGGAAGCGGAAUUCCUAGUGUAGCGGUGAAAUGCGUAGAUAUUAGGAGGAACACCAGUGGCGAAGGCGGCUUUCUGGACUGACACUGACGCUGAGGCACGAAAGCGUGGGGAGCAAACAGGAUUAGAUACCCUGGUAGUCCACGCGGUAAACGAUGAAUACUAGGUGUAGGGGGUAUCAACUCCCUCUGUGCCGCAGCUAACGCAAUAAGUAUUCCGCCUGGGGAGUACGGCCGCAAGGUUGAAACUUAAAUGAAUUGACGG